Lucilia sericata (common green bottle fly) is the source of this 373-nucleotide long non-coding RNA. RefSeq lists it as uncharacterized. The transcript has 2 exons. Lineage: Eukaryota; Metazoa; Arthropoda; Insecta; Diptera; Calliphoridae. The record is from RefSeq and is a predicted model, not a curated record.
ACAGCUGUUAGGGUUUGCUGUUUUAUCAAAAGAUUUUUUUUGUUAACGGGUAUUAGUUUGCACGUGUAAAUUUUUUUUUUUUAUAAAACAUUGUAUUGUAUAAAUACAUAAACGGUCGUAUUGAAAUGGACAAGCGAACACCAAAAAAUUUGCAGGAUCUUUUGAAGUUUGCAAUUAGUCAGGAGCAUACUGAAAGAAAUGAGUGCAUUGAAAUCGACGACGAUGUAAGUUAAAUUCAUACAGUACUUUUCGCUUGAGGGGUUUUACUUUACAAUACUUUGUAUUAAUAUAAGAGUUUCAUUGUUUUUAAAACAAAAUCAAAUUUGUUGUCAAAAUGUAUUGGACAAUUUUCAUUCAUGUAUUAUGAGAACUA